This 697-nucleotide ribosomal RNA is filed under the name uncultured bacterium. Its description in RNAcentral is "bacterial SSU rRNA". It matches the Rfam family "Bacterial small subunit ribosomal RNA", at positions 615 to 1312 of the family's 1533-position model. The record is from RNAcentral.
CAANGUAUGCUUUGGAAACUGUUAGACUNGAGUGCAGAAGGGGAGAGUGGANUUCCAUGUGUAGCGGUGAAAUGCGUAGAUAUAUGGAGGAACACCGGUGGCGAAAGCGGCUCUCUGGUCUGUCACUGACGCUGAGGCUNGAAAGCGUGGGUAGCGAACAGGAUUAGAUACCCUGGUAGUNCACGCCGUAAACGCUGAGUGCUAGGUGUUAGGUCCUUUCCGGGACUUAGUGCCGACGCUAACGCAUUAAGCACUCCGCCUGGGGAGUACGACCGCAAGGUUGAAACUCAAAGGAAUUGACGGGGGCCCGCACAAGCGGUGGAGCAUGUGGUUUAAUUCGAAGCAACGCGAAGAACCUUACCAGGUCUUGACAUCCCGAUGCCCGCUCUAGAGAUAGAGUUUUUCUUCGGAACAUCGGAGACAGGUGGUGCAUGGUUGUCGUCAGCUCGUGUCGUGAGAUGUUGGGUUAAGUCCCGCAACGAGCGCAACCCUUAUUGUUAGUUGCCAUCAUUAAGUUGGGCACUCUAGCGAGACUGCCGGUAAUAAACCGGAGGAAGGUGGGGAUGACGUCAAAUCAUCAUGCCCCUUAUGACCUGGGCUACACACGUGCUACAAUGGUUGGUACAACGAGUCGCAAGCCGGUGACGGCAAGCUAAUCUCUGAAAGCCAAUCUCAGUUCGGAUUGUAGGCUGCAACU